CACGUAGGGCGCAAGCGUUGUCCGGAAUUAUUGGGCGUAAAGAGCUCGUAGGCGGUCUGUUACGUCUGCUGUGAAAACCCAGGGUUUAACCCUGGGCUUGCAGUGGAUACGGGCAGACUAGAGGCAGGUAGGGGAGAAUGGAAUUCCCGGUGUAGCGGUGAAAUGCGCAGAUAUCGGGAGGAACACCGGUGGCGAAGGCGGUUCUCUGGGCCUGACCUGACGCUGAGGAGCGAAAGCGUGGGGAGCGAACAGG
RNAcentral lists this ribosomal RNA (253 nucleotides) under uncultured bacterium. RNAcentral describes it as "partial 16S ribosomal RNA". It matches the Rfam family "Bacterial small subunit ribosomal RNA", at positions 524 to 776 of the family's 1533-position model. The record is from RNAcentral.